AUUAAGACUUAGUUGUUUUUGUUGAGUUUGUUACAGUACUUAUUCUGCAUGCUAGUUGUUUAACUCUUAAGACUAUUUAAGGCUUUGUAUUUUUUGUUUUUGACUGUAACUUCUUAUUUGGCCUUCUACUUAUUGCCCUUCUCACACUACUUAUCUACCUUACCUGAUAUCAAUUAAAUUAUAUUACUUCUGGUACAUUUGUGCUUGCUUCCUUGGUAUUUACUGAUAGGUUUAUCUAAUGAAAAUUAACUCAUUAUGAUGUUGAAGGAGUAAAGUUCAGCAAAUUGUUGGCGCUACAAUUAAUUUGCAUCGGCGUUCAGGAAAUGUCUUACCACCCCCUGUGGAUGAGUAUACUGAUAGAAACAUAUCAUCAACAGUCAAACUCGACUCCAAAAGUUCUUUAAAUGUAAGACUGAAGUGUUUUUUCUGUCUCAAAGUAAUUUUAUCAUUGGUGGUUGAGUUUUGGAUAAUCAUUCUAUGAUAUAACCCGAUUCCUAUUAGGUGAAAUAGGUAUGCGGAUGGUUAAUUUUUUUAACUAAUAUGAAGUCACAAGCAUUUCAAAGUCUGGUGAAGUUUUAAUUAACGUGAUAUGUUCAAAUUCUGGGAGUUGAUUUAUGCUGUUACUCACAACUUGAUAGAACAUGUUAUUUCUUUACAGCGGAAUAUUGGAAAUUGUGAUAGUGGAUCUUGUGCCGAUAGUGAUACUCCUGCACU
Molecule: unclassified non-coding RNA, 714 nt
Filed under: Hevea brasiliensis (rubber tree)
Lineage: Eukaryota; Viridiplantae; Streptophyta; Magnoliopsida; Malpighiales; Euphorbiaceae
Source: RNAcentral